AUACCCCUGUUGUCAACGGUUAUUAUGGUCAAGAGCAAGUCUGACAUGGCACUCGACUUCAAACAAGGGAAGGAAACCGAAGAUUGCACGGGGCUGAUAGCAAGACAGACAAGCAGGAGAUUCUGUCUCAUGUUAUUGUUAAGAGCAUGUGUGGCAUGCCUAGCAAGAAACCUGAAGCCAGCUCCUUGAGAUUGCUCCCUCUUUCACUCUGGAGAUUCCUAAAAGUCAAUGCAAGAAUUCUAGAAAGGAGCCCCUGAUGGAUGCCAAGGGUGUCAUUUGAAUGGGCACCAUUGUUGCUGGAGAGGAUGUGGAGAAAUAGGAACACUUUUACACUGUUGGUGGGACUGUAAACUAGUUCAACCAUUGUGGAAGACAGUGUGGCGAUUCCUCAAGGAUCUAGAACUAGAAAUACCAUUUGACCCAGCAAUCCCAUUACUGGGUAUAUACCCAAAGGAUUAUAAAUCAUGCUGCUAUAAAGACACAUAAACACAUAUGUUUAUUGCGGCACUAUUCACAAGAGCAAAGACUUGGAACCAACCCAAAUGUCCAUCAAUGACAGACUGGAUUAAGAAAAUGUGGCACAUAUACACCAUGGAAUACUAUGCAGCCAUAAAAAAAGAUGAGUUCAUGUCCUUUGUAGGGACAUGGAUGAAGCUGGAAACCAUCAUUCUGAGCAAACUAUCGCAAGGACAGGAAACCAAACACCGCAUAUUCUCACGCAUAGGUGGGAAUUGAACAAUGAGAACACUUGGACACAGGGUGGGGAAUAUCACACACCGGGGCCUGUAGUGGGGUUGGGGGAGGGGGAGGGAUAGCAUUAGGAGAUAUACGUAAUGUAAAUGAUGAGUUAAUGGGUGCAGCACAGCAACAUGGCACGUAUACAUAUGUAACAAACCUGCAUGUUGUGCACAUGUACCUUAGAACUUAAAGUAUAAAAAAAAAAAAAAGAAUGGGCACCAUUGUGUCCAAGGUGUGCUGUGGAUAUAGUUUGUGUCAUAAGUGAAGGAGAGCUCUCUGAGUUCAUGUUCUCCAAUUGGAGUGCCAUGGACACUUCAAAGUAUCUGUCCAAAGAACAUGUUCAUAAGAGAUGCCAAAAAGCACUGUGCUUGUUUAUAUCCGGGGCAUCUUUGGGCCACUUGGUCUUUAGUCUUCCAAAGACUGAUUGCCUUAUGGAAGUAGAGACUGUUCAACAUGGAAUACUUAAUAAGCAGGUGCUUAAUAAACAUUUGAUUGAUUGAUGAAGGGACUUUAAACUUUUCCAAAGAUGCUACCGCUCCCUUUACCCCUGUCUGGAGAAUGCCUUUCUUCCUUACUUUCAAAUUUCCUUUGUUGGACACUGACUGCAGAUCCUGGUAUCGGCAGUAGCUUGAGUAUCAUGGCAGAGCAGAGAACAUCUUGCUCCUAAGGAAUGGACUCUAGGGUACCUGUUUUCACCUGCAGUGUUGUCAUUUAUUCAUUCAACAAAUAUUUAGUGAACACUAUGUGCCAGGCGUGGUGCUGGACUCUACAAAUACAAAGAUGAACACACAUGGUCCCUGGCCUUGCCAAGUUUACAUAAAGCACUGUGGGUGUAUUACUGUGCUCCGGAUGCUGUACCAAAAUACCACAGGCUGAAUGGCUUAAGGUCCAGCAGGGUUGGCUUCUGGUGAGGGCCCUCUUCCUGGUUUGCAGAUGGCCACCUUCUCCUUCUUGCUAUGCCCUCACAUAGCCUUUCCUUGGUGCAUGUGUGAGGGGAGAGGGAGGGUGUUCUCUGGGGUCUCUUCUUAUAAGAACACAUCUUAUUGGAUCAGAACCCCACCUUUAUGCCCUCAUUUAACACUAAUUAUAUCCUUAGAGGUCCUAUCUCCAACUGCAGCCAUAUUGGGGGUUAGGGCUUUAACAUAUGCAUUUAGGGGGGACAUAAACAUUCAGUUCAUAAAAAUGAGGCACAUGAACAAAUGAAAAAGCAAUUACCUGUAAGCAGUAAAAGCAUAAAAACAAGCAGGAGGUAGUAUACACUAAAUUUAGGAUGGGGAGGGAAGGGGAUGCAAAGAGAGAGAGGUAUGCAGGGGCUUAAACUGGUAUUUGCUAUAUCUACUGGUAAUGAUUUGUCUUCAUUCAAGACCUACAAAAGUCUUCAUUGUAUUAUUCUUUACACCUUUAAGUAUUAAUUAUUUCACAAUAUUUAAAAAAUAAUAGAAGACACUAUUAUUGUGCAAUGUAGUAAGAGGUAACUAGGGGGGCAUGCUCAACAUGCUGUAGGAGCACAUAGAAGGGGAAUCAGGAAGGGUAUAAAAAAGAUGGCAUCUACAGAGGAGUAGAAGGGGCCCAGGUGCAGGGGGAAGGCAGUGGUGAGUGGUCAGUAGAAGGACCAAGGCCAGGCUGGGAGUGGUGGUCCAUGCCUGUAAUCCCAGCAUUCUGGGAGGCCAAGGUGGGAGGACUGCUUGAGCCCAGGAGUUUGAGUGUAGUCUGGGCAACAUGGUGAAACCUCAUCUCUCCAAAAAAAUCCAAAAAUUAGCCGGGUGUGGUGGCGUAGGCCUGUAGUGCCCUCUACUUGGAAGGCUGAGAGGCAGGAGGAUUGCUUGAGCCUGGGAAGUCAAGACUGCAGUGAGCUGUGAUCAAGCCACUGCACUCCAGCCUGGGCAACAGAGCAAGGCCCUGUCUCAAAAAAAAAAAAAAAAAAAAAAAAAUUACCAAGGCCAGAAGUCUUGCCGGGCUGACCUCAGCAAGCUUACUUUCUCUGAGUUGCUUAAUUUGGGAAUUCAGAAGACAGGGUGAGCUAUACUGUUUAACUUGGCUUUUGGGGUGAUGUGGCCUGUGGGGCCAAUGUCUGGCCUUUUUUGCCUGCUCAGUGGUGUGGCUGUGUUUGGCACGUGAAUUAUGUUUGACUUUGGCCAUGUCUUUGAAGGCAAUCUCUCUUUGCUGCUGUGGCAUCUAGAACAGGUGGUGUUUACAGCGUUUCCCAGAAUUGCCUGCUUCCUAGGACUUUACCUAUCCAUUUGUCCCUCUAUUCAUUCAUCCAGCAUCCAUUCACUGAGCACCUACUCUGCCAGGUAUUAGGCCAGGUGCUAGGGCUUGAAGGCCCAUCAACCUAGUCCUGGGCCUUGAGGAGCUUGACAAGCAAUGGAAAAUAGCAUGGGCAUCCACAUCUCCAAGCACAUCCUUAUACCUCAUCUCAUUUAGCCCUCGGGCUGCCCUGUGUGGCAGGUUUCCAUUCUAUGAUUGAGGAAGCUGAGACUUGAAAGGAAAGUGACUUGAUAUUUGACUCUAAGCUAAGGGGCUUUUCCCACUAUGCCAGGCUGCCUUUACUGAUGUUGGGCAUGGUCGGAAGAGCUCAGACCACGGCUGCCCCCUCUCUUCCUGGGAAAGACACCCUCAGACAGGUCUUUACAUCCCAUCCUGUUUUACGAAGGUUUCUGAGAAUGAGCAGGGAGAAGGACCUACAAGUAACCUUUAUAGUCAUUCAGUCCAACCACCUCACUGAUGACUUGGUUACCCAGAGGAUAAAGAAAAGCUUAGCUUACCAGAAACUCCAGCCCCUGUUAUUAUGAAAAAGAACAGGACAAGUCUUGAGACCCCUAGAGGAGGCCUCUGAUCUGGAGAGAAUCGACAGAGGAGCCAGACCCAGAGUCCCCUGGAGGGAGCCAGGUCUGCAGAAGCUCAGAAACUCAGUCCUGCCUUUCUUGCAUAUGGAGUCCAUGGUCAUAGUAGCAGUGUCCUGGCUCUACCCAGAGUGUCCAAUGGCUUCCUGUCCCUCUGGACUUGUCAUUUAGUGGGCAAAGUCCAAGAUCACACCUCUCACUCCUGCCCCCACCUCUUGCCCCUGUUUUAUCUCACUUGGGAAUAAUCUGUUCCCAUGUGAAGCCAACGAAAAUGAGCCUCCACCAGUGUGGGGUAACCCAACAGGCAGAUUUGGUAUGGACACAGGGCCCCAGCCAGAUGAAGACAUCCCAAAGUUGAGAAGAGUUCAGUAAUCAGAAAAUCUAAAAAGAUGCUCUUUUAAUUUCAGCACACAUGUACAUUUUGUGUUGUCUGGUGAGUAUUAGGAAUUAUAUUUGGAGAGAGACUGCAAUCUUUAUAGGGUUCAGGGCCUUUUAAGGUCUUACUCGGACCUUGGACAACCAAGAGGGAAAGGGCCAACAGGUGUGAGGAAAAUAAGUUGUGAGGCUGCAGGGAGGAAGAGGAUGGCUCACCAGGAUGAAGAAAAGGGAAGGAGAGGAGCUCUCAGUGGUGCAAUUGGUUAGCGUGUGGCACUUACAUGAAAAGGGAAGGAGGGCUUGGCACAGGCUAGCGGGAAGCCUCAGGUCACCCUGACACCUGUUGCCAUGGCCCGGCGGCGGUUUCCUGACUUGUCAGGACGUGUGCACAGAGAGAACAAUGGGUUUGCCUUGACAGGAAGAUGCUUCCUGUUUUGCUGCAUGGGUUCAUUGUUGGGCAUUAAGAGGGAGGGGUCUAUGUGUCUGUGUUUUUCGUGUUGCCAAAAGCUCUCUGAGGGGAGAAGUGGGGGUGAGUGAGGACGGGGGUCUGAGGAAAGGUGAAAGGGAAAGGAAGGGAGCAGUUAUUCUUCCAGAAUUGCUCAGCCAAACCUCACGCCAUUCUAGUUUCAGCCAACCAGAGAGGGUGGGGCUGGCCCUGCUGUCCUACUGUCCCCAAGAGCUCUAAGCCCAGAGCUUUUGUGCAUGACUGAGGGCUGCCCAGAAUCCCUCCUUUUGUUCC
This 4695-nucleotide long non-coding RNA is filed under the name Homo sapiens (human). RNAcentral describes it as "HSALNT0389713". Lineage: Eukaryota; Metazoa; Chordata; Mammalia; Primates; Hominidae. The record is from RNAcentral.